AAUAAUUAUCUCAAUAAAUAUAAAAUAACUAAACCAAAUGCUUCAAUUUUGCAAGUCAAUGAUGGUCGAAUGAAAAUUGAACCUUCCGAGUUUAGGAUGAAAAAUAUCAUUUUCUCGCUAAUCACUUUCUUUCUUCUUUUUGUCUGUGGUGCCAUUUUGAGAGGUUGUAAAUUUACCAACACAAGUAAAGAGACAUUAGCCCUCUUGGAAUGUGAAGCAAUUUUGUGGAAGGUCUAAUCGCCAUCGUCACAAAAGUGGUUUGGGAUAAAGUGGUUUUCUCAACGAGGUGGGGUCUUCUCUUCACCCUCUAAAAUUAGGGUUUUGAUUGAGGAUCUGCUCAUGUUCUUCUCGUUUUGGCAUCCUCCCAAAGCUGCUUAUUAAGUUUUGGAAGCAAAACAAUACCAAUUAUCCUCAUCAUCUUGGGGUAUGAGAAGGUAAUUAUUAUCAUUUCAUUGACUGAUUUUUGUUUUUUAAUACCAAAGUUUAGUUACCUUUUGUGUUGAAACCCAAAUUAGUGUUAAAACUACACUUUGCUUAGUCCAAAAAAAGUAUGUAUAAAGCCUAACUUUGAGUUACAUCUCGAUGUCUCUUAUUCACAUUUCCUCCCCAUAACAAAUAUAUUUGAUUUAGAGUAACUUCGAUGUAUAUAUGUUUGACUAACAUGUACGAGAGCGAGGACUUAAAAAUUAAAUCGUGAAGAAAUGAUGUCUUAGUCAAGUAGAAAACGACGGUCGUGUGAAUUUAAUAGAUUAUAUAGAAAAUUUGUAUACAAAACAAUAAAGCAAGUGAAAAGGGAGAAGGAAAAAGGUCAUACCACGAGAAUGCACGUAGAUGAUUUACUUUAACGGUCACCACACAAUUUUCUCCGCACAAAGACAUGAUGUAACAAUUACAUUAAGGUAAUACAAGAUGCAUUCAUCUCCGUGCAUCCCUUAGCACCGCUCACAUGAACCCUAAACUUGAUUAGAUAACGAGCAUCCAUCCAAUGUAAUAUUUAUAAUUAAAUUAAUUUAAAUUUGUUGUUUGAUUAUUUCUUUAAAAAUAUAAUUAGGCAUUGAAAAAAAAAGGUGCCAACUAUUAAAUGUUUAUUUAAAAAGAAAAAGGAGUAAUGAGUAAAUGCGUAAGGAAGUUGCGUAAUGGGAAUGAGAUGCCCUUAAGGAAUAAAACUCUCUCUCAUUUCUAUGAAAUUAACAUGUUUUAAAUUCCUUUAUGUUUCCAUCUCACCGAUUUCCAAAAUAUUUUUCAAUCCUUUUCUUACUUUGUCUACAAACCAUCCAUCAACUCAACUAUUCUUCUGUUUCUUGUUUCAAAAUUUUAUGAACCAAACAUUUAUUUCUAUUUAUUUGAGCUUCCGAGGAAGCAUUUCGAUUAAGAAAUUCGUUCACGCUAUAGAUACACUACACCUAUUUGGUUUCUAGUUUAAUUAAUUUCAUUGGUAUCAUGUAUGUUUUUUCAUGUCAAAACUUGAAUAAAUAGAUGUGAUAUUCUAAAUUUGUAAUUUGAUGUACAGAGAACAUAGACAAAUAACUAUGAUACCAAAGUCAAAUAGGAAGACUAAGUAGUGAAUUUUCUAAUCUUGUUCUUUGUUCUAGUUGAAAUUAAUUCAUAUAAAGUAGUUAUAAUAAUUUGGUGUCAUCAAUUGGAUGAGAUGAUUUUAAUUUUCUUAUUGGGAUGAGAUAGAAGUGUACGUAAGUCGGGUUAGAGGAAGAUUAUGGACCAAACUAAAGAAUCUAGAUUGACAAAAAAAAAAAAAAAACUUGUUGGUUCAAUAUAUAGAAUCAAUCCAACCCAACCUAACCUAACCAAAAAUAUCUGGAUUGGGUUGGCGGGUUGAAAUUGUUGGUUCAAUACAUUGAAUCAAUCCAACCCAACCUAACCUAACCAAAAAUAUUUGGAUUGGGUUGGCGGGUUGAUUUUUUCUUUCUUUCAUAAUUUAAACAAAUUUUAAUACUGCUUUUCAAUAUACAAGAUGAACAAAUUGUCAUUCCAAUGCAAAGGGCAAAGUUGUGAGACACACGUAUAUGUUAUAUAUUCAAAUCUAAAACCUAAAGCCUAAGAGUUAUAUAUUAAUUGGACCAAGUCAAUAUAACCCUUACUUACACAAACUGACUAUUUGGCUUUAACUUUUUUUUUUUCAAUUUUCUAAUUCAAUCCAACAUAAUACAAAAUUUAACCAACACAACCGGUAACUCGGAUUAACAGUUCUUUUAAACACCUCUAGAAUGAGAUAUCUUGAUUAUAGGUUGGCACUUGAUUUGAACCAAAACCCACCCACUCUAUAUAGUCCUAUUUUCCUCAUUUUUGGCUUAUUUGUUAGGUUCAAUGUCACCUACUAACAUAUCUAAAAUAAACAUCCAUUAAAAUACUUAUUUAUUCAUCUAUUUCCAUGGGUAUCAAAGCUAGCUUAUUAGAAACUCAACUCAACUUGGACUAUUGCCCGAUACUAAGAAAAACUCCUACGACACUAAAUCCUAACAUGGCCAACAAAGAUUGAACAUAUUCCUUCUAAGUUCUUUAUUAAAUUUAUGAUUGUUUUUACCAAACCAUUAUAGUUAAAGAACCUUCUAAUACCUAACGAAACAGAGAUAAAAACAAAUUAGUCAAGAACGUAUGACCUUUCAAUGAACACUAGACUAAGAAAAAAACUAUUUUUAAAUAUCACAAAAAUGAACCAAAAUAUUUAUACAUAUAACAAAAUCUUGGACACUGAUGGAUUCUAGUAGAAGUCUAUUUCUCUAAUCGAUAUCUAUUAAGUUGGGAAAUUUUUUUUUGGUAGUUUUAUCAUUUAAAUAAUUUUCUUCAAAAAAUAAAAUAAAAAAACUCAAAACCCCAAAACUUUAUAUUGAAUAAUAUCAUAAGAAGAAAAGAAACAUUUCAAAUCCAAUUGAGAAGGCUGAAAGGAUCAAAUGUUUUCUUAAACUAUAAUUUUCAUUGGCUAUUAUUUGGUGAAGGAAAUCGAAAAGGUACGAUAAUGUCUAUUUUUAGAUAAAGACCCAAUAGCCAAUAAUGGAUGAGAAAUUCUAAGGAGGAAAAGUGUUCUAAAAAAAUCAUUAAUAUCUUGACCCAAAAUAUAAUAGACUUAAUAAGCUCCCCUUAAAAAUAAUAAUAAAAAAAAAACAAGAAAAAUAGAGGAAGAUAUUCUAUAGAUAUAGGAUGAUGUAUCAAUGUAUCAUAUCAUAUCAUAUCAUAUUGGAAGAUUUUGGGAAGUGGAGAGAGUAUGAAAUAUCAAGAUCAGGCACAGUUACAAGAAGGAUUAUUUUGAAACAAAUGAUAAAAACUACAUAAGAGGAAAAUAUUUUAAAAACCUACAAUACUCUCUAGUCUACUAUUACAUCAGGCUAUUUUAAGAUUUAAGAACAACAACCCAAAAAUGCAAAAAUGAAAUAGCUGUUUUUCCUUUUAAUAGUAUUUUCUUCCAUGGAAAUUAUAAUAAACUACCAGAUUUUCCCAGGAAAUAGAGCUAAUAACAAAGUAAAUGAACUCAUGGCUAUUUAUGAUACCAAAAAGUAGAACCUGUAAUUCCAAUUUAUGCUGUUUUAUCUUCUUCUAAAUCACCAGCUGGAUUGUCGCUUCCAUGCAGUGGUUUAAUGUCUGGUACGCUCCGAGCGUCCUUUGAAGGCGAGGAAAUUGGAGAUGGUCUUAUGAGUGUUAAAUUUGUAUCAUCCUUGUCGAACUCUUCAUGUGCGUCUUCGGAGUAUGCAUACCUGAGGUA
This 3712-nucleotide long non-coding RNA is filed under the name Cucumis sativus (cucumber). RNAcentral describes it as "long non-coding RNA (CSAT_LNC002924)". The record is from RNAcentral. Lineage: Eukaryota; Viridiplantae; Streptophyta; Magnoliopsida; Cucurbitales; Cucurbitaceae.